RNAcentral lists this small RNA (1995 nucleotides) under Pongo abelii (Sumatran orangutan). Its description in RNAcentral is "retained intron". The record is from RNAcentral. Lineage: Eukaryota; Metazoa; Chordata; Mammalia; Primates; Hominidae.
GAAGGGGGUUAGCGAAACGUUAGCGGUCGAGUCUGGGCAGGGGGUGGAGCUGGUUGAAGGAACGGGGCAGUCCCCUGAGGAGCGGGGCUGGUUGAAACGCUAGGGGCGGGAUCUGCCCGAGUGGAAGGUACCGGUCCGGCCCGAUAAGGGGUGGAGUUAAGUGAAUCGUUAAGGGUGGAGUCGAGACCGGGGCCGGCUGAGUGAAAGGGUGGGUGAUUAUCCCGGGAGAUAGGCCGAAAGGGCCGAACCGCGGCAGGGGCCAAGCCUCCUCAACUAUGACCUCAACCGGCCAGGAUUCCACCACAACCAGGCAGCGAAGAAGUAGGCAGAACCCCCAGUCGCCCCCUCAGGACUCCAGUGUCACUUCGAAGCGAAAUAUUAAAAAGGGAGCAGUUCCCCGCUCCAUCCCCAAUCUAGCGGAGGUAAAGAAGAAAGGCAAAAUGAAGAAGCUCGGCCAAGCAAUGGAAGAAGAUCUAAUCGUGGGACUGCAAGGGAUGGAUCUGAACAUUGAGGCUGAAGCACUGGCUGGCACUGGCUUGGUGUUGGAUGAGCAGCUAAAUGAAUUCCAUUGCCUCUGGGAUGACAGCUUCCCGGAAGGCCCUGAGCGGCUCCAUGCCAUCAAGGAGCAACUGAUCCAGGAGGGCCUCCUAGAUCGCUGCGUGUCCUUUCAGGCCCGGUUUGCUGAAAAGGAAGAGCUGAUGUUGGUUCACAGGUGAAGGCUUGGGAGCCUUGUAGGGAUGGGGAGGAGCCUGCCCUGGACAAACCAGGGCAAGCUAAACGCUUUGGGAAGGAAUGUCAUGGUCUCUGUGGCCAGCCUUGGGCAAGUCACUGAGCCUCUCUGAAUCUGUGUCAUCGCCUGUAACAAGGGGACCAGUAAACAUAAGUUCCUCAGGAGAGUUUGAUGUGUGUCAGGUGCUUAGAACAGGGCCUGAUAUAUAAUCAGCCCAUGAUGAGCUAUUACUGUUAUCACGAUCUGAUUGUGUGAAUAGAUGGUGGAUGUGUGGACAGAGUGAUCGGGGUUCCCCCAGGGGCUGCAGGAACCCAGAUUUAGAGGCCUGGUGCUAUGUGGCUUGAGGAAAGCUACCUUCCAGAGCAGGUAUCUGAGCUGAACUUUAAGAGGAGAAAAAGAGUGAGUCAGAUGAAGAGGGUGACUGAGGGAAGGGAAAAACAGACAGCUGGACCAGUGUGGCCAAAGGCCUGAAAGUAGGAUUUGGUGUGGCUAUUGCAGGGGAGCAGAAAAUAUUACUGGAACUGAGGCGGGCUAGGGAAGAAACAGAAUGUGUCUUAUAUCCUGGCUAUUCCUUCAGGUUGACAGUUAGGGGAGCCAAGCCCUAAUUUGACCAGGGGGUUGGUGUAUGGACAGCUCAGCUGGGGAAGAGACAGGGCCCUGAAUCUCAUCUCCCAUCUGUGUCUAGCCUAGAAUAUAUUGAUCUGAUGGAAACAACCCAGUACAUGAAUGAGGGAGAACUCCGUGUCCUAGCAGACACCUACGACUCAGUUUAUCUGCAUCCGGUAUGGAUGAGAACUCUGGGGGCAGGGAAUGGUGGCAAUCUUGGGGUCCCCAUCCCUAUGCCCACCCCACCCUGGGGGAAGCAGCUGAGUGGAUAGGGCUGUUCUCUCCCUUAUUCCCUUUCUGGCUCCCCACUGUCUCUCCAGAACUCAUACUCCUGUGCCUGCCUGGCCUCAGGCUCUGUCCUCAGGCUGGUGGAUGCGGUCCUGGGGGCUGAGAUCCGGAAUGGCAUGGCCAUCAUUAGGUAGGACUCUACAGCAUUUGACUUUUUACAUUGUUUUAAAGUCCUUCCUUCAAGUGUAAAAUGUAUUAAUAUGGGUAAUAUAUUCAUGUGAUUCAAGAAUCCAAAGGUACAAAAGAGAAUGUAAUUAAAAAUCUUGUCUCCCAUCCUUGUCACCCAGACACCUGCUUCCUCUCAUGGGACGUAGUCAUUGGAACCACUGACUCUUGUGUCCUCCCAUAAAGUCUUAUUCAAGAAAUAAAUA